Non-coding RNA from Brachypodium distachyon (stiff brome), 136 nucleotides. NCBI's taxonomy places the organism in Eukaryota, Viridiplantae, Streptophyta, Magnoliopsida, Poales, Poaceae. The record is from Rfam.
GUAGUACUUCCUCCGUCCAACAAAAAAUGUCUCAACUUUGACUAAAUUUGAAUUCAUAUAUACACUAAGUCAUGUCUAGAUACAUCCAAAUUUUGACAAACUUGAGACAUCUUUUGUUGGACGGGGGGAGUACUAG